AGAGUUUGAUCCUGGCUCAGGACGAACGCUGGCGGCGCGCCUAACACAUGCAAGUCGAACGAGAGAGAGGGAGCUUGCUUCCUCAAUCGAGUGGCGAACGGGUGAGUAACGCGUGAGGAACCUGCCUCAAAGAGGGGGACAACAGUUGGAAACGACUGCUAAUACCGCAUAAGCCCACGGGUCGGCAUCGACCAGAGGGAAAAGGAACAAUCCGCUUUGAGAUGGCCUCGCGUCCGAUUAGCUAGUUGGUGAGGUAACGGCCCACCAAGGCAACGAUCGGUAGCCGGACUGAGAGGUUGAACGGCCACAUUGGGACUGAGACACGGCCCAGACUCCUACGGGAGGCAGCAGUGGGGAAUAUUGCACAAUGGGGGAAACCCUGAUGCAGCGACGCCGCGUGGAGGAAGAAGGUCUUCGGAUUGUAAACUCCUGUUGUUGAGGAAGAUAAUGACGGUACUCAACAAGGAAGUGACGGCUAACUACGUGCCAGCAGCCGCGGUAAAACGUAGGUCACAAGCGUUGUCCGGAAUUACUGGGUGUAAAGGGAGCGCAGGCGGGAAGACAAGUUGGAAGUGAAAUCCAUGGGCUCAACCCAUGAACUGCUUUCAAAACUGUUUUUCUUGAGUAGUGCAGAGGUAGGCGGAAUUCCCGGUGUAGCGGUGGAAUGCGUAGAUAUCGGGAGGAACACCAGUGGCGAAGGCGGCCUACUGGGCACCAACUGACGCUGAGGCUCGAAAGUGUGGGUAGCAAACAGGAUUUAGAUACCCUGGUAGUCCACACCGUAAACGAUGAUUACUAGGUGUUGGAGGAUUGACCCCUUCAGUGCCGCAGUUAACACAAUAAGUAAUCCACCUGGGGAGUACGACCGCAAGGUUGAAACUCAAAGGAAUUGACGGGGGCCCGCACAAGCAGUGGAGUAUGUGGUUUAAUUCGACGCAACGCGAAGAACCUUACCAAGUCUUGACAUCCUGCGACGGUGCUGGAAACAGUAUUUUCCUUCGGGACGCAGAGACAGGUGGUGUAUGGUUGUCGUCAGCUCGUGUCGUGAGAUGUUGGGUUAAGUCCCGCAACGAGCGCAACCCUUAUGGUCAGUUACUACGCAAGAGGACUCUGGCCAGACUGCCGUUGACAAAACGGAGGAAGGUGGGGAUGACGUCAAAUCAUCAUGCCCUUUAUGACUUGGGCUACACACGUACUACAAUGGCGUUAAACAAAGAGAAGCAAGACCGCGAGGUGGAGCAAAACUCAGAAACAACGUCCCAGUUCGGACUGCAGGCUGCAACUCGCCUGCACGAAGUCGGAAUUGCUAGUAAUCGUGGAUCAGCAUGCCACGGUGAAUACGUUCCCGGGCCUUGUACUCACCGCCCGUCA
This 1371-nucleotide ribosomal RNA is filed under the name uncultured bacterium. RNAcentral's name for it is "bacterial SSU rRNA". It matches the Rfam family "Bacterial small subunit ribosomal RNA". The record is from RNAcentral.